AGAGUUUGAUCAUGGCUCAGGACGAACGCUGGCGGCGUGCCUAACACAUGCAAGUCGAACGGGGUCCAUGAGAGCUUGCUCUCGGAAGACCUAGUGGCGAACGGGUGAGUAACACGUGAGAAACCUGCCUUGGAGUGGGGAAUAACUCGGGGAAACUCGAGCUAAUACCGCAUACCUUCCUUUGAUCGCAUGGUCAGCUGAAGAAAGAAUUUCGCUCUAAGAGGGUCUCGCGGCCUAUCAGUUUGUUGGCGGGGUAACGGCCCACCAAGGCUAUGACGGGUAGCUGGUCUGAGAGGACGACCAGUCACACUGGAACUGAGACACGGUCCAGACUCCUACGGGAGGCAGCAGUGGGGAAUUUUUCGCAAUGGGGGCAACCCUGACGAAGCAAUGCCGCGUGGAUGAUGAAGUAUCUCGGUACGUAAAAUCCUUUCGACGGGGAAGAAACCGCAAGGUUGACGGUACCCGUAGAAGAAGCCCCGGCUAACUCCGUGCCAGCAGCCGCGGUAAUAC
This 513-nucleotide ribosomal RNA is filed under the name uncultured bacterium. Its description in RNAcentral is "bacterial SSU rRNA". It matches the Rfam family "Bacterial small subunit ribosomal RNA", at positions 8 to 526 of the family's 1533-position model. The record is from RNAcentral.